Molecule: ribosomal RNA, 119 nt
Filed under: Oncorhynchus mykiss (rainbow trout)
Lineage: Eukaryota; Metazoa; Chordata; Actinopteri; Salmoniformes; Salmonidae
Source: RNAcentral
AAUUACGGCUACAGCCAUAUGAGUACGCCUGAUCUCGUCCGAUCUCGGAAGCUAAGCAGGGUCGGGCCUGGUUAGUACUUGGAUGGGAGACCGCCUGGGAAUACCAGGUGCUGUAAGCU